GAUGAACGCUGGCGGCGUGCCUAAUACAUGCAAGUCGAGCGCGAGAAUGAGGCGCUUGCUCCUCAUAAUCGAGCGGCGGACGGGUGAGUAACACGUAGGCAACCUACCCUUGAGAUUGGGAUAACUACCGGAAACGGUAGCUAAUACCGGAUACGACUUUUCCACACAAGUGGAAUCGUUAAAAGGCGGAUUUAUCUGCCGCUCAUGGAUGGGCCUGCGGUGCAUUAGCUAGUUGGUGAGGUAGUGGCUCACCAAGGCGACGACGCAUAGCCGACCUGAGAGGGUGAUCGGCCACACUGGGACUGAGACACGGCCCAGACUCCUACGGGAGGCAGCAGUAGGGAAUCUUCCGCAAUGGACGCAAGUCUGACGGAGCAACGCCGCGUGAGUGAUGAAGGGUUUCGGCUCGUAAAACUCUGUUGUUAAGGAGGAACACUUGAGGUAGUAACUGGCCUUGAGAUGACGGUACUUAACCAGAAAGCCACGGCUAACUACGUGCCAGCCGCCGCGGUAA
RNAcentral lists this ribosomal RNA (514 nucleotides) under uncultured bacterium. RNAcentral's name for it is "partial 16S ribosomal RNA". It matches the Rfam family "Bacterial small subunit ribosomal RNA", at positions 28 to 523 of the family's 1533-position model. The record is from RNAcentral.